Molecule: ribosomal RNA, 254 nt
Filed under: uncultured bacterium
Lineage: Bacteria
Description: partial 16S ribosomal RNA
Rfam family: Bacterial small subunit ribosomal RNA
Source: RNAcentral
UACGGGGGGAGCAAGCGUUGUUCGGAUUUACUGGGCGUAAAGGGCGCGUAGGCGGUCAGCACAAGUCAGUUGUGAAAUCUCCGAGCUUAACUCGGAAAGGUCAACUGAUACUGUGCGACUAGAGUGCGGAAGGGGCAACUGGAAUUCUUGGUGUAGCGGUGAAAUGCGUAGAUAUCAAGAGGAACACCUGCGGCGAAGGCGGGUUGCUGGGUCGACACUGACGCUGAGGCGCGAAAGCUAGGGGAGCGAACGGG